Molecule: ribosomal RNA, 254 nt
Filed under: uncultured bacterium
Lineage: Bacteria
Description: partial 16S ribosomal RNA
Rfam family: Bacterial small subunit ribosomal RNA
Source: RNAcentral
UACGUAGGGGCCUAGCGUUGUCCGGAUUUAUUGGGCGUAAAGAGCUCGUAGGCGGUUCGGUAAGUCAGGUGUGAAAUCUCCACGCUCAACGUGGAGGCGCCACCUGAAACUGCCGUGACUAGAGUCCGGUAGGGGAGUGUGGAAUUCCCGGUGUAGCGGUGAAAUGCGUAGAUAUCGUAAGGAAGACCAGUGACGAAGGCGGGUCUCUGGACAGUUCCUGACGCUGAGGCACGAAGGCCAGGGGAGCAAACGGG